RNAcentral lists this ribosomal RNA (253 nucleotides) under uncultured bacterium. RNAcentral's name for it is "partial 16S ribosomal RNA". It matches the Rfam family "Bacterial small subunit ribosomal RNA", at positions 524 to 776 of the family's 1533-position model. The record is from RNAcentral.
UACGAGAGGUGCAAGCGUUAUUCGGAAUUAUUGGGCGUAAAGGGUGCGUAGGUGGCACGUUAAGUCAACUGUAAAAUUCCUCAGCCUAACUGAGGGCUCGCAGUAGAAACUGGCAUGCUAGAGGGUGGAAGAGAGAAGUGGAAUUCUCGGAGUAGCGGUAAAAUGCGUAGAUCUCGAGAGGAACACCGAUGGCGAAGGCAGCUUCUUGGUCCAUACCUGACACUAAGGCACGAAAGCGUGGGGAGCAAACAGG